GGCUCCUCUGUCAGCCCCUCCAGAUGGUGUGCUCUGCUGGCUCCACUGCAGUCCUCAGCUCCUUCUGCUGGACCGGGGCUUCCCUUAGGAAAAAGCUACUUGGUGAGAGAAACUUGAAGACUUCAGUCCUUUUUGUAUCUAUGACUCCGGAAAGGAAAGAAAAAUAAACCAUGUAGAACCUGCUUGCUGUCCUGUCCUCUGCCAGCCGUUGGCCUCAGUAAUCGGAUUCAAGGAUAUGUAUGACCUACUUUUUGAAUCACUGCAGCCCAGGCUGCGCAAUUUCUUAUGUUCUCUUGCUGAGAAACCAACAUACAAGCAGAGAUUGUGUAUUUUUCUGUAAAGGUAGAGGUAGGCGCUUCUGGAAAUUCUGGAAACCUUUCCAAGUUUACAGCACAAACGACCGGAAUGUUAAGAAGGGCUUUUGUUAACAGCUACCCAACACUGUCCUGGAGGCUUUUUAAAGAGCUUAUCUCAUUGAAGCCAAGGCUGGGGCUAGCGAGAGGCCAAUGAGAGCACGGCCUCUUUCUAAGGCUUUCUGGUGCAAUGCAACCCUCCUCGAUGGCCACAGCUGAUUGACUGGAGUGAACCUGUGACCUGAACUGGGCCAGUCAGAUUUUUCAUACUGGAAAUUUGGCGUCGGAGCCCUGAGAAACAAGUCAGGUGGUCUCGGGGGCUGAAGCUACCCCUGUGGGGUGACUAGUGGAACUCCUGGUAGUGAGAAAAAGUGAGAUGAGACUGAUGAUCUUCAGAAGGAAAAGUUUGGACUAAACACCCAGAGGAAAGCUGAAAUGAGAGACCACAUGGAAUGAAGGAGAACAAAGCCAAUCACUGAGACAAGUAUUGCCAGGGAAGAAGGCUUUUUUGGGUGCUACAGCUGAGGAGCUGGGAGGUCAAAACAGUGUGGGAAAAGAAAUUUAA
RNAcentral lists this long non-coding RNA (918 nucleotides) under Homo sapiens (human). Its description in RNAcentral is "HSALNT0305954". Lineage: Eukaryota; Metazoa; Chordata; Mammalia; Primates; Hominidae. The record is from RNAcentral.